AAGGCACUAGUAAAACAGUAAUAACACUGCCUUGUCAAGGCAGAGUUGUGGGUUAAAACCCCGCGUGCCUUG
Molecule: transfer RNA, 72 nt
Filed under: Lagocephalus suezensis
Lineage: Eukaryota; Metazoa; Chordata; Actinopteri; Tetraodontiformes; Tetraodontidae
Description: tRNA-Asp
Rfam family: tRNA
About the family: Transfer RNA (tRNA) molecules are approximately 80 nucleotides in length.
Source: RNAcentral